ACUCAAAGGAAUAGACGGGGACCCACACAAGCGGUGGAGCAUGUGGUUCAAUUCGACAGUAAGCGAGGAACCUUACCAGGUCUUGACAUCUAGCGAACCCUCUGGAAACAGGGGGGUGCCCGCAAGGGAGCGCUAAGACAGGUGCUGCAUGGUUGUCGUCAGCUCGAGCCUUGAGGUGUGCGGUUAAGUCCGUGAUCGAGCGCAACCCUUGUCCUUAGUUAUAAUUUCUAAGGAGACUGCCGUGCCACAAGCCGGAGGAAGGUGGGGAUGACGUCAAAUCAGCAUGGCCCUUAUGACCUGGGCUACACACGUGCUACAAUGGUUGGGACAGAGGGAAGCAAGGGAGUAAUCCGGAGCAAAUCCCAAAAACCAAUCUCAGUUCGGAUUGAGGGCUGCAACUUGCCCUCAUGAAGUUGGAAUCGCUAGUAACCGUAUAUCAGCUAUGGUACGGUGAAUACGUUCCUGGGUCUUGUACACACCGCCCGU
RNAcentral lists this ribosomal RNA (486 nucleotides) under uncultured bacterium. RNAcentral describes it as "partial 16S ribosomal RNA". It matches the Rfam family "Bacterial small subunit ribosomal RNA", at positions 899 to 1397 of the family's 1533-position model. The record is from RNAcentral.